GCUGGGCAUGGAGGUGCACACCUGUAAUCCCAGCUACUCAGGAAGCUGAGUCAAGAGGAUUGCAAGUUCAAUGCCAGCCUGAGCAGCUUAUCAAGAUCCUGUCUCAA
RNAcentral lists this small RNA (107 nucleotides) under Marmota monax (woodchuck). The record is from RNAcentral. Lineage: Eukaryota; Metazoa; Chordata; Mammalia; Rodentia; Sciuridae.